Molecule: ribosomal RNA, 128 nt
Filed under: uncultured eukaryote
Lineage: Eukaryota
Description: partial small subunit ribosomal RNA
Rfam family: Eukaryotic small subunit ribosomal RNA
Source: RNAcentral
CCCUGCCAUUUGUACACACCGCCCGUCGCUACUACCGAUUGAAUGGUUUAGUGAGUUCCACGGAUUGGCAGCCUCGAUUGCGCAAGCUUUCGGCGUCGCCGAGAAGUGGAUCAAACUUGAUCAUUUAG